UCUUCUUCAAAAGGUGCUGAUCUAGGUGU
RNAcentral lists this non-coding RNA (29 nucleotides) under Rattus norvegicus (Norway rat). Lineage: Eukaryota; Metazoa; Chordata; Mammalia; Rodentia; Muridae. The record is from RNAcentral.